Molecule: non-coding RNA, 725 nt
Filed under: Pongo abelii (Sumatran orangutan)
Lineage: Eukaryota; Metazoa; Chordata; Mammalia; Primates; Hominidae
Source: RNAcentral
CAGAUUCAGAGCCCCAGCCUGUUCAUAAAAAAAAUCAGAUGAAUUUUGUCUGCGAAACAUUCUGCAAAAAUAUCUGACCAGGAAAGAUAAAUAAGAUGCAAAAAGUCACACACACAGGAAAUGAUUAAUACAAUUUUAUGGCAUCAAAAGAUACCAUUGAUAAAGUAAAACACAAGUCACGAACUGGGGGAAAGAAGAUGAGGUAGCAUCCAAAAUACAUGAAGAAAUCUUGUAAGUCUAUUAAAAGACUAUACGACCUAACAGAAAGAAGCAGCAAAAAUCAUGAAAAGAGCUGGGCAUUGUGGUAUGUGCCUUUAGUCCUAGCUACUCUGGAGGCUGAGGCAGGAGGAUCACUUGAGCCCAGGACUUUGAGGCCACUGUAAGCUAUGAUCAUGCCACUGCACUCCAGCUCAGGAAACAAACAGUAUUUGUUCAACAAACAAAAGAAAAUAAAAGAAUGGUAGACAAGGAAAGCAGUGGAACAGCUAUGCAAGAAGCCUACUUUCUCUUCAUGUAACACGUUGGCCUAAGAGAUCUAUAGAGCUUUUUAAAAACAGAGAAGGCAGCAAGAUUUAAAAUAAUAAAACCAGCAAUAGGUAUUUUUUAAAGUGAGAGAAACUAUCAGAGAGCUGAAGCAGAAAAGCAAGUUAAAAAUAAAGGAAACAGAAAAGGAACUGAUAUAGCUGAUUUGAUACUAGAAAGAUCACCCAGGAGGCAGCACGGAG